Molecule: ribosomal RNA, 408 nt
Filed under: uncultured bacterium
Lineage: Bacteria
Description: partial 16S ribosomal RNA
Rfam family: Bacterial small subunit ribosomal RNA
Source: RNAcentral
AGUGAACGCUGGCGGCGUGCCUAACACAUGCAAGUCGAAGGAAGUGGCGCACGGGUGAGUAAUAUAUAGCGAAAAUGCCCCUAGCUGGAGGACAACAGUUAGAAAAGAGUGCUAAUACUCCAAAGCAAGGGAGGAGACUAUAUCGUAUCAGCUAGUCGGUGGGGUAACGGCCUACCGAGGCUAUGACGCGUAACUGGUCUGAGAGGAUGAUCAGUCCAAUUGGAACUGAGACACGGUCCAAACUCCUACGGGAGGCAGCAGUAGGGAAUAGUGCGCAAUGGGGGAGACCCUGACGGAGCAACGCCGCGUGGAGGAUGACACGGUUCGGAGCGUAAACUCCUGUUGUUAGGGAAGCGGUACCUAACGAAUAAGCACCGGCUAACUCCGUGCCAGCAGCCGCGGUAAUUC